RNAcentral lists this ribosomal RNA (253 nucleotides) under uncultured bacterium. RNAcentral's name for it is "partial 16S ribosomal RNA". It matches the Rfam family "Bacterial small subunit ribosomal RNA", at positions 524 to 776 of the family's 1533-position model. The record is from RNAcentral.
UACGUAGGGGGCAAGCGUUGUCCGGAUUCACUGGGUGUAAAGGGCGCGUAGGCGGGUUAGCAAGUCAUAGGUGAAAUCUCCCGGCUCAACCGGGAAACUGCCUUUGAAACUGUUAAUCUUGAGGGCGGAAGAGAGAGAUGGAAUUCCAGGUGUAGCGGUGAAAUGCGUAGAUAUCUGGAGGAACACCAGUUGCGAAGGCGAUCUCUUGGUCCGUUACUGACGCCCAGGCGCGAAAGCGUGGGUAGCAAACAGG